RNAcentral lists this long non-coding RNA (452 nucleotides) under Homo sapiens (human). RNAcentral describes it as "non-protein coding lnc-CAMLG-1:1". Lineage: Eukaryota; Metazoa; Chordata; Mammalia; Primates; Hominidae. The record is from RNAcentral.
UGAAUAUCCCCUAUUUUGAUAUCAGAAAAUAAUAACAAAAUCAUACCAAAAAUUUUUAUUGAUGGGUUUUCAUGUUGAUGGAUUCUAUGACUCCACUCAUAGAAUCAUUAGGGAAUUUAUAUAUUUAAAAGGCAGAUAUGCCAGCCACAGCGGCUCACACUGUAAUCCCAGCACUUUGGGAGGCCAGGGCGGGCUGAUCACGAGGUCAAGAGAUCGAGACCAUCCUGGCCAACAUGGUGAACCCCCUUCUCUACUAAAAAUACAAAAAUUAGUUGGGCGUGGUGGCGCACACCUGUAGUCCCAGCUACUCAGGAGAUUGAGGCAGGAGAAUCGCUUGAACCCAGGAGGUGGACAUUGCAGUGAGCCAAGAUUGUACCACUGCACUCCAGCCUGGCAACAGAGUGAGACUCCAUCUCAAAAAAAAAAAAAAAAAAAAGAUAGAUAUGCCAGGC